CAUGUCCAAAUGGUUCUUUCCAUGAAGGAUGUGGUUGGUAACUGAUUUUCUUUUAUUUAUUUUCUAAAGUCGUUAUCGUUGCAUGAAAUCAGUGCAAAUAGAUUCCCUUGCAUAAUCAAAACCCUUCACCAUUUUAAUCACCUUGAAUAGGAAAUUGGCAACAAUACCUGCCUUGAAGAAGUUCUCCUCCUCUCUCCGGAUUCAAGGUAUGCCUGCCUUGAAGAAGUUCUCCUCCUCUCUCAGGAUUCAAGGAUCAGACUGCGCAUAGUAUUGGUUCCUGUGUUCGCCUGGGUAUUCUGAGAUGGUAAUCCAACAGUAAUCCUUUGACAAUAGAGCAGAGGGUCAUCAUAGUGUUGGAUAAAUACAAGUCUCCUCCUGUGAAAUGACUUUUAUAACAAAAGCUAAAUAUACUGGAAACACUCGAUGAAUCAGGCAGCAUUGAAUGUAAGAAAAACAAAGCUAAUGUUUCAGGUUGAAGACCCUUUGUCAGAACAUUUUCUGUUUUAUUUAAAAAUCUGUAAAUAUAUUAUCACAAACACUUUGUGUAAUGGGGGCUGGUGUCAUUACUUGUGCAUGAUAUAUAUUAUAAAUGUGGUACUAAUCCCUUUACAGUGAAUGGUUUAAUACUUUUGUUAAACUAAUGGUCAAAGGAACAUUGUGCAUCAAAUGUUCAUCUACUAUUGUCAAAAACAAAAGCAACGACCUUGUCAAAAGCUCUAUUUUUGCCCACUAAAAAAACAUCAGUACAUAGUGUAAUCAGUAAAUGCUCAGAAAAUGCUUACAACUAACUUUUAAGAAACAGGCCUGGUUUCUGUGCCUUCAGGAAGAUUUAACUCCCAUGCAAUAAACUCUGAUUAUGAAUACUC
Molecule: long non-coding RNA, 866 nt
Organism: Leucoraja erinaceus (little skate)
Lineage: Eukaryota; Metazoa; Chordata; Chondrichthyes; Rajiformes; Rajidae
Exons: 2
Source: RefSeq, a predicted model, not a curated record